This 301-nucleotide ribosomal RNA is filed under the name uncultured bacterium. Its description in RNAcentral is "partial 16S ribosomal RNA". It matches the Rfam family "Bacterial small subunit ribosomal RNA", at positions 509 to 809 of the family's 1533-position model. The record is from RNAcentral.
CAGUCGCCACGGUAAUACGGAGGGGGCUAGCGUUGUUCGGAAUUACUGGGCGUAAAGCGCACGUAGGCGGCUUUGUAAGUCAGAGGUGAAAGCCCGGGGCUCAACCCCGGAAUUGCCUUUGAGACUGCAUCGCUUGAAUCCAGGAGAGGUGAGUGGAAUUCCGAGUGUAGAGGUGAAAUUCGUAGAUAUUCGCAGGAACACCAGUGGCGAAGGCGGCUAACUGGUCCAUAACUGACGCUGAGGUGCGAAAGCGUGGGGAGCAAACAGGAUUAGAUACCCCCGUAGUCCCUGUCUUUAUACA